Molecule: ribosomal RNA, 266 nt
Filed under: uncultured bacterium
Lineage: Bacteria
Description: partial 16S ribosomal RNA
Rfam family: Bacterial small subunit ribosomal RNA
Source: RNAcentral
AAGUCGAACGAGGUCCGGAGCUUGCUCCGGGUGCCUAGUGGCGAACGGGUGAGUAACGCGUGGGAAUCUGCCCUUAGGAGGAGGAUAACAGCUGGAAACGGUUGCUAAUACUCCAUAUGCCGAGAGGGUGAAAGGAUUUAUCCACCUAAGGAGGAGCUCGCGUCUGAUUAGCUAGUUGGUAGGGUAAUAGCCUACCAAGGCGAUGAUCAGUAGCUGGUUUGAGAGGAUGAUCAGCCACACUGGGACUGAGACACGGCCCAGACUCC